This 250-nucleotide ribosomal RNA is filed under the name uncultured bacterium. RNAcentral describes it as "partial 16S ribosomal RNA". It matches the Rfam family "Bacterial small subunit ribosomal RNA", at positions 87 to 339 of the family's 1533-position model. The record is from RNAcentral.
GGCGUCGAGUGGCGGACGGGUGAGUAACGCGUAGGAAUCUGCCCAUAAGCGGGGGAUAGCCCGAAGAAAUUCGGAUUAAUACCGCAUAAUAUCUACGGAUUAAAGAAGGCCUCUGUUUCAUGCUUUCGUUUAUGGAUGAGCCUGCGUUGGAUUAGCUUGUUGGUGGGGUAAAAGCCUACCAAGGCAACGAUCCAUAGCUGGUCUGAGAGGACGAUCAGCCACACUGGGACUGAGAUACGGCCCAGACUCC